GCCCAGGUGGCGGAAUUGGUAGACGCGCUGGCUUGAGGGGCCAGUGGCCGAAAGGCCAUGCUGGUUCAAAUCCAGUCCUGGGCACCA
RNAcentral lists this transfer RNA (87 nucleotides) under Armatimonadota bacterium. Its description in RNAcentral is "Armatimonadetes bacterium tRNA-Leu". It matches the Rfam family "tRNA". From Rfam's summary of the family: Transfer RNA (tRNA) molecules are approximately 80 nucleotides in length. Their secondary structure includes four short double-helical elements and three loops (D, anti-codon, and T loops). Lineage: Bacteria; Bacillati; Armatimonadota. The record is from RNAcentral.